RNAcentral lists this ribosomal RNA (253 nucleotides) under uncultured bacterium. RNAcentral describes it as "partial 16S ribosomal RNA". It matches the Rfam family "Bacterial small subunit ribosomal RNA", at positions 524 to 776 of the family's 1533-position model. The record is from RNAcentral.
UACGGAGGAUCCAAGCGUUAUCCGGAUUUAUUGGGUUUAAAGGGUGCGUAGGUGGCCUAUUAAGUCAGUGGUGAAAUCCUACAGCUUAACUGUGGAAUUGCCAUUGAUACUGAUGGGCUUGAAUACAGGUGAAGUGGGCGGAAUAUGACAUGUAGCGGUGAAAUGCUUAGAUAUGUCAUAGAACACCGAUUGCGAAGGCAGCUCACUAAACUGUCAUUGACACUGAGGCACGAAAGCGUGGGUAGCAAACAGG